Molecule: non-coding RNA, 29 nt
Filed under: Rattus norvegicus (Norway rat)
Lineage: Eukaryota; Metazoa; Chordata; Mammalia; Rodentia; Muridae
Source: RNAcentral
UCAAUAUUGGUUAGGGUUGCAUGCUGGGA